Passer domesticus (house sparrow) is the source of this 1160-nucleotide long non-coding RNA. RefSeq lists it as uncharacterized. The transcript is spliced from 7 exons. The record is from RefSeq and is a predicted model, not a curated record. NCBI's taxonomy places the organism in Eukaryota, Metazoa, Chordata, Aves, Passeriformes, Passeridae.
CAUGGAAUCGUAGCAUCAUAGACUCGUGGAAUGGUUUGUGUUGAAAGGAACAUUAAAGAUCUAGUCUACUUUCAACCCCCUGCCAUGGACAGGGAUGCCUCCUGCCAGCCCAGACUGGCUGUUUGCCAAGGGGAGAUUGCAGGCCUUUGCUGAGAUUUAGCAAAAUUCACUAGCCAAGAGAGCAGGUCACUGACCCUCCAUCAAUCAGCACACAGCAGUUUCUUGCUCUUUACAAUGGAUUUUGAGAUUUGCAAAUAGAAAUUAAAUCCCUCAAAGUGUCAUAGGAAGAGAAUGAUGCAGGUACUACUUUUGCAGACUGGAUGACGUUUCCUGUACUGGACUGGCCUGGGGUCAUUCCUUAACUCUGAGAGUUAUUUUCAUCUGCCUCACUCCCAUGAUGAAACUUUUGGAUGCUGGUGGUUGAUUUCUCCAGAGAUGUCAGUGCAGUGUUCCAAGGGUGCCAGGAUAGAGAGUCACCUGAAGGAUGGUGUCUCCCUCUGAGAAGCUUUGAGAUGGUGCAGUAUCGUGUGGUGCCACAGAAAAGUUGUAUCUGGAUGGCAGAGGAAUUUGCUUCCAAGUUAUCCACUGUAGGAAAGUAAAAAGAGGAGUGUGCCCUUCCGAAAACUUGUGAACAAAUAAUGUCUCCAGAAGAUGUCUGAUGUAGUGUAAACAGUGACAGAAGCAGGCUAAGCUGCAAGAGGAAAAAAAAAGGAAAUUAAGGCACCAGCAGAAAUAGCCUGUGGUGGGCAGACUGGACAACUUACCCUACUGUGACAAAAACAAAGAAGAAAUCAUUUCAUCUCACCAUUGUCACCCCUGCUAGGCACAGAGAGCUGAGAGAAGGGGCAGGGAGAGAAGGCAGAGUCAUGGAGAUGACAUGAGCCACCCUCAGUUUUGAGCAUUUACAAAUACGCAAAUGCAAAGCAGAGCGAGAGACCACCCUUAGUUUGUUAAAGCAGGAUGGAUUUCUGCUCUUAUUUGGUAUGUAUCUUCUACAGCCUGAUGGUCAAGCCAGCUUUUCCCUACAACAACUUCACUUGUAGUCUAAAACCUGAUUUAAAGUGUAGUCAACUUUACAGUAAGUGACUGUCAUGUGUGAGGGUCAAGACUACUUUCUUUUGAAAAAAAUGUUAUGAAUAAAUGCAUAUUUUACAGCUGUG